Molecule: ribosomal RNA, 440 nt
Filed under: uncultured bacterium
Lineage: Bacteria
Description: partial 16S ribosomal RNA
Rfam family: Bacterial small subunit ribosomal RNA
Source: RNAcentral
CCUACGGGUGGCAGCAGUGGGGAAUAUUGCACAAUGGCGGAAACCCUGAUGCAGCGACGCCGCGUGAGUGAAGACGUAACUCGUUAUUUAAAGCUCUAUCAGCAGGGAAGAAAAUGACGGUACCUGAGUAAGCACCCCCGGCUAACUACGUGCCAGCAGCCGCGGGAAAACGUAGGGAGCAAGCGUUAUCCGGAUUUACUGGGUGUAAAGGGAGCGUAGACGGCAGUGCAAGUCUGGAGUGAAAGGCGGGAGCUCAAACCCCGGACUGCGGUGGAAACUGUACGGCUGGAGUGCAGGAGAGGUAAGUGGAAUGCGUGGUGUAGCGGUGAAAUGCGUAGAUAUUAGGCAGAACACCAGUGGCGAAGGCAGCUUACUGGAGUCUAACUGACGUUGAGGCUCGAAAGCGUGGGGAGCGAACAGGAUUAGAUACCCCUGUAGUC